CAAGUCGAGCGAGUCCCUUCGGGGGCUAGCGGCGGACGGGUGAGUAACACGUAGGCAACCUGCCUCUCAGACUGGGAUAACAUAGGGAAACUUAUGCUAAUACCGGAUAGGUUUUUGGAUCGCAUGAUCUGAAAAGAAAAGAUGGCUUUUCGCUAUCACUGGGAGAUGGGCCUGCGGCGCAUUAGCUAGUUGGUGGGGUAACGGCCUACCAAGGCGACGAUGCGUAGCCGACCUGAGAGGGUGACCGGCCACACUGGGACUGAGACACGGCCCAGACUCCUACGGGAGGCAGCAGUAGGGAAUUUUCCACAAUGGACGAAAGUCUGAUGGAGCAACGCCGCGUGAACGAAGAAGGUCUUCGGAUUGUAAAGUUCUGUUGUCAGGGACGAACACGUCCCGUUCGAACAGGGCGGUGCCUUGACGGUACCUGACAAGAAAGCCCCGGCUAAC
RNAcentral lists this ribosomal RNA (450 nucleotides) under Brevibacillus agri. RNAcentral describes it as "bacterial SSU rRNA". It matches the Rfam family "Bacterial small subunit ribosomal RNA", at positions 58 to 501 of the family's 1533-position model. Lineage: Bacteria; Bacillati; Bacillota; Bacilli; Caryophanales; Paenibacillaceae. The record is from RNAcentral.